Molecule: ribosomal RNA, 1406 nt
Filed under: uncultured bacterium
Lineage: Bacteria
Description: bacterial SSU rRNA
Rfam family: Bacterial small subunit ribosomal RNA
Source: RNAcentral
UUAGAGUUUGAUCCUGGCUCAGGAUGAACGCUAGCGGCAGGCCUAAUACAUGCAAGUCGAACGGUAAACGUCCUUCGGGGCGUGAGAGUGGCGCACGGGUGCGUAACGCGUAUGCAACCCACCCCCUGCAGGGGUAUAGCCCGGAGAAAUCCGGAUUAAUCCCCCAUGAGGAGCGGGAGAGGCAUCUCUCCCAUUUCAAAACUACGGUGGCGGGGGACGGGCAUGCGUCCCAUUAGGUAGUAGGCGGGGCAACGGCCCACCUAGCCGAUGAUGGAUAGGGGUUCUGAGAGGAAGGUCCCCCACAUUGGAACUGCGACACGGUCCAAACUCCUACGGGAGGCAGCAGUGAGGAAUAUUGGUCAAUGGGCGAGAGCCUGAACCAGCCAAGUAGCGUGCAGGAUGACGGCCCUAUGGGUUGUAAACUGCUUUUUGUGCGGGAAUAACGUGCUCCACGUGUGGGGGCAGUGCAUGUACCCGUACGAAUAAGGAUCGGCUAACUCCGUGCCAGCAGCCGGCCGUAAUUCGGAGGGUCCCGAGCGUUAUCCGGAUUUAUUUGGGUUUAAAAGGGAGCGUAGGCGGGAAGGUCAAAGUCCGCUGUGAAAUUGUAGUCCCUCAAACGUCCUGCCCGGCAUUUGAAACCUGGCCUCCUUGAGUGCGUAAGAGGCAGGCGGAAUUCGUCGUGUAGCGGUGAAAUGCUUAGAUAUGACGAAGAACUCCGAUUGCGAAGGCAGCUUGCUGGGCCGCAACUGACGCUGAAGCUCGAAGGUGCGGGUAUCGAACAGGAUUAGAUACCCUGGUAGUCCGCACAGUAAACGAUGGAUACUCGCUGUCGGCGAUAAACGGUCGGUGGCCAAGCGAAAGCGUUAAGUAUCCCACCUGGGGAGUACGCCGGCAACGGUGAAACUCAAAGGAAUUGACGGGGGCCCGCACAAGCGGAGGAACAUGUGGUUUAAUUCGAUGAUACGCGAGGAACCUUACCCGGGCUUGAAUUGCCGGUGACGGUUGGCGGAGACGCCUUCCUUCCUUCGGGACGCCGGUGAAGGUGCUGCAUGGUUGUCGUCAGCUCGUGCCGUAAGGUGUCGGCUUAAGUGCCAUAACGAGCGCAACCCUUGCUGUCAGUUGCCAUCAGGUCAUGCUGGGCACUCUGGCGGGACUGUCAUCGUAAGAUGUGAGGAAGGUGGGGAUGACGUCAAAUCAGCACGGCCCUUAUGUCCGGGGCGACACACGUGUUACAAUGGGGGGUACAGAGGGAAGCCACCUGGCGACAGGGCGCGGAUCCCGAAAUCCCUUCUCAGUUCGGAUCGGAGUCUGGAACUCGACUCCGUGAAGCUGGAUUCGCUAGUAAUCGCGCAUCGGCCAUGGCGCGGUGAAUACGUUCCCGGGCCUUGUACACACCGCCCGUCAAG